UGGGGAAUACUGGACAAUGGGGGAAACCCUGAUCCAGCAAUGCCGCGUGAGUGAAGAAGGCCUUAGGGUUGUAAAGCUCUUUCGCCCGCGAAGAUAAUGACGGUAGCGGGAGAAGAAGCCCCGGCUAACUCCGUGCCAGCAGCCGCGGUAAUACGGAGGGGGCUAGCGUUGUUCGGAAUUACUGGGCGUAAAGCGUACGUAGGCGGAUGCGCAAGUUGGGGGUGAAAUCCCGGGGCUUAACCUCGGAAUUGCCCUCAAAACUGCACGUCUUGAGACCGAGAGAGGUAAGGGGAAUUCCUAGUGUAGAGGUGAAAUUCGUAGAUAUUAGGAAGAACACCAGUGGCGAAGGCGCCUUACUGGCUCGGUACUGACGCUGAGGUACGAAAGCGUGGGGAGCAAACA
Molecule: ribosomal RNA, 402 nt
Filed under: uncultured bacterium
Lineage: Bacteria
Description: bacterial SSU rRNA
Rfam family: Bacterial small subunit ribosomal RNA
Source: RNAcentral